AGGGCACCACCAGGAGUGGAGCCUGCGGCUUAAUUUGACUCAACACGGGAAAACUCACCCGGUCCGGACAUUAUAAGGAUUGACAGAUUGAGAGCUCUUUCUUGAUUUAAUGGGUGGUGGUGCAUGGCCGUUCUUAGUUGGUGGAGCGAUUUGUCUGGUUAAUUCCGAUAACGAACGAGACUCUAGCCUACUAAAUAGACUACCGUUCCUUUGUGACGGUAGGACUUCCUAGAGGGACAGGCGGCGACUCAGCCGCACGAAACAGAGCAAUAACAGGUCUGUGAUGCCCUUAGAUGUCCGGGGCCGCACGCGCGCUACACUGAAGUGAUCAGCGUGCAUCAAUAACCCUCUCUGUCAAGAGUGGGUAACCCAUUGAACCUUCUUCGUGAUUGGGAUAGGGCAUUGUAAUUAUUGCCCUUGAACGAGGAAUUCCCAGUAAGCGCGAGUCAUAAGCUUGCGUUGAUUACGUCCCUGCCCUUUGUACACACCGCCCGUCGCUACUACCGAUUGAAUGAUUUA
This 519-nucleotide ribosomal RNA is filed under the name uncultured eukaryote. Its description in RNAcentral is "SSU rRNA". It matches the Rfam family "Eukaryotic small subunit ribosomal RNA", at positions 1161 to 1700 of the family's 1831-position model. The record is from RNAcentral.